RNA transcript from Zea mays, 1915 nucleotides. It is a transcript of the gene named Transcription factor BIM3, with no coding region annotated. The transcript is spliced from 11 exons. The record is from RefSeq and is marked validated. NCBI's taxonomy places the organism in Eukaryota, Viridiplantae, Streptophyta, Magnoliopsida, Poales, Poaceae.
UGUUGUACCAGUAUAAAUAAAUAAAGUUUCGAAGGUGCUCUAAAUUUCAAAAAGAUAAAAAAAAACACAAUCAGACAGUCUGACAGACAUGCAGGCUUACCUCUUGGCCAUCUUCGAUCUCAUCCCCCGUGGCCGUGGCCUGCUGGCUCCCUCCGCCUGAGAGAGAGGCUGAGACUAUAAUAAGGUCAGCGGAGCCGAUCGGCAGCCGAACUCGCUGCACAUUCCGCCGGGCGUGUCGGUACUACUAGCUAGCAGGCAGCAAGAUCCGCCAGGCAGCGCAGCAGGCUUGGCAGGCAGGACGCAGGAGCGAGAGAUCUCUCGGUUCCCCUGCCCGCGUGCCAAAAUGCAGCUCUUCCAAGGAGAGAAGCCGGCCCACGAUUUCCUCUCGCUCCACACCGGAGGAGGCCCGUCGUCGCCCGUGCAGCAGCAGCAUCCCGCCCAAGGAUACGAAUCGGGGGCGCACAGUUCGCUGAAGCCCAUGAAACUGGACAGGCGGCGGCGCGGCGGCGGCGGCGGCGGAGCGAUCGACAUGGCACCGUCGUCGGGCUUGGAGUCGGACUCCGAGGAGCACGUCUUGCCGGGCGGCGUCGGGACGUUCAGCAUCAGGCAGGUGGCAUCUGCGACUCGAUCGAGGGGAGAAGCCGCCGGCCAUGGCGUCGUCAGCGGCGCCUUUCCACCUGCCGUUCAUGUGUCCAGAACGGAGGAGGGCCCGCCGCAUGGAGCAGAAUCGGGAGCCAGGGCUCACAGCGGCCCGCUCGCGAUGUGGCAAGAUUCUGGCGUCGACCAAAGAUCCAGAGGCGCGAGAGGAGGGGAGGGGAGAAGCAGCGGCAGCAGCGCCGAUCAGGGGCCCAGCACACCGAGAUCCAAGCAUUCCGCUACCGAGCAGCGGAGACGGACAAAGAUAAACGACAGGUUGGAAAUACUUCGGGAACUCCUGCCGCACGGUGACCAGAAGAGGGACAAGGCAUCUUUCCUUCUUGAGGUUAUUGAAUACAUAAGGUUCUUGCAAGAGAAGGUCCAAAAGUACGAGUCAGCCCAACCAGAAAAGAAUCACGAGGACUCCUCCAUGCCAUGGGCAAAAGUUUACUACAGAUCAUGCUGGAAAAACACAGAGAAUAUCAUCCAAGGAGGAGGAUUAGCACCUUCCACGAAAGAUGAGAACAAAGAACAGUAUGAUUCCAAGCAAACUACGGUGGCAUCGUCUGCUCUCUUUGACACACAAAGUGCUAGAGAAACUAGUGCAAACGAUAUUUCCUCCCAAAAGGCAACAAGCAAAGCAAAAUGCAGGGCAGCUUUAAAAUGCAGACAACAGCGUACCUGGCAAACAGCCACCAUGGUUGAGCAUGUCAACCUCUGAUGCAGACAACAAAACACUGAGCAAGAACGAGAAACAAACUCUCCAAGAGGAUACUCAAAGUCUUUCUGAUGCUUACUCUCAAGGGCUUCUAAAUAGAUUGACACAAGCUCUAAAAAGGUCGGGAGUAGACCCAUCUCAAGCUAGUAUAUCUGUAGAGAUCAGUAUGGACAGAAGAGCAACAGAACCUAAUAAUAUACAUGACAAUUUGAAGGAUCAUGAAUGUGAAGAUAUUAUACAUGUGACCAAGAAGCUUCGGGGCGAGAGAAGCAAGAUCUCCAGCUCAAACUGAAAUUCAAACUGUGGCGACAAGCCGACAACAGACCAGGACUUUGUCGACGAAAUUGACAAUUGAUGGAAUGCUCUUAUUUAUAUUGAAAUCACAAUUACUGACCUAAGCCUCCAUUCAGGUACAAAGGAAGCUGCUCAGGGGAGGGUAGUCAUAAAGCUCCCCAAUUCAGACAUUCCUCCUCAUUUGUAAAUGCAAUUCAGAUUGUAAAACAGUGUACAUGUACUGCUCUCUCAAAAUUUGUCAAUUCAACAAAUAUGGUAGUAUUGCAA